RNAcentral lists this ribosomal RNA (352 nucleotides) under uncultured bacterium. Its description in RNAcentral is "partial 16S ribosomal RNA". It matches the Rfam family "Bacterial small subunit ribosomal RNA", at positions 338 to 682 of the family's 1533-position model. The record is from RNAcentral.
CCUACGGGUGGCAGCAGUGGGGAAUAGUGCGCAAUGGGCGAAAGCCUGACGCAGCGACGCCGCGGGAGGGAUGAAGGUCUUCGGAGCGUAAACCUCUGGCAGCAGGGAAGAACGGUCACGGUGCUAAGCAGCAGUGAAUGGACGGUACCUGCAAAGGAAGCACGGGCUAACUCCGUGCCAGCAGCCGCGGUAAUACGGAGGGUGCGAGCGUUCAUCGGAAUUACUGGGCGUAAAGCGCUCGUAGGCGGUAUGUCAAGUCAAGGGUGAACUCCCCGCGCUCAACGUGGGAACUGCCUUUGAAACUGGCAAACUGGAGUGUGUGAGAGGAUAGUGGAAUUCCAGGUGUAGGCGU